This 348-nucleotide ribosomal RNA is filed under the name uncultured Helicobacter sp. RNAcentral's name for it is "bacterial SSU rRNA". It matches the Rfam family "Bacterial small subunit ribosomal RNA", at positions 278 to 643 of the family's 1533-position model. Lineage: Bacteria; Pseudomonadati; Campylobacterota; Epsilonproteobacteria; Campylobacterales; Helicobacteraceae. The record is from RNAcentral.
GACGGGUAUCCGGCCUGAGAGGGUGAACGGACACACUGGAACUGAGACACGGUCCAGACUCCUACGGGAGGCAGCAGUAGGGAAUAUUGCUCAAUGGGGGAAACCCUGAAGCAGCAACGCCGCGUGGAGGAUGAAGGUUUUAGGAUUGUAAACUCCUUUUGUUAGAGAAGAUUAUGACGGUAUCUAACGAAUAAGCACCGGCUAACUCCGUGCCAGCAGCCGCGGUAAUACGGAGGGUGCAAGCGUUACUCGGAAUCACUGGGCGUAAAGAGUGCGCAGGCGGGAUAGCAAGUCAGAUGUGAAAUGCUAUGGCUUAACCAUAGCACUGCAUUUGAAACUGUUAUUCUA